GAGUUUGAUCGUGGCUCAGAUUGAACGCUGGCGGCAUGCCUAACACAUGCAAGUCGAACGGCAGCACUGGGAGCUUGCUCCCUGGUGGCGAGUGGCGGACGGGUGAGUAACGCGUAGGAAUCUGCCUCAUAGCGGGGGACAACUCGGGGAAACUCGAGCUAAUACCGCAUACUACUCGAGAGAGGAAAGCAGGGGACCUUCGGGCCUUGCACUAUGAGAUGAGCCUGCGUUGGAUUAGCUAGUUGGUAGGGUAAAGGCCUACCAAGGCGACGAUCCAUAACUGGUUUGUAGAGGAUGACCAGUCACACUGGGACUGAGACACGGCCCAGACUCCUA
Molecule: ribosomal RNA, 336 nt
Filed under: uncultured microorganism
Description: bacterial SSU rRNA
Rfam family: Bacterial small subunit ribosomal RNA
Source: RNAcentral